GGCUACAAUGGUUGGACAAUGGGUAUCUACCCCGAAAGGGGACGGGAAUCUCCUAAAACCAAUCUUAGUUCGGAUUGAGGGCUGCAACUCGCCCUCAUGAAGCUGGAAUCCGUAGUAAUCGCGUUUCAACAGAACGCGGUGAAUACGUCCCUGCUCCUU
RNAcentral lists this ribosomal RNA (159 nucleotides) under uncultured Methanosaeta sp. RNAcentral's name for it is "partial 16S ribosomal RNA". It matches the Rfam family "Archaeal small subunit ribosomal RNA", at positions 1179 to 1338 of the family's 1478-position model. The record is from RNAcentral. Lineage: Archaea; Methanobacteriati; Methanobacteriota; Methanomicrobia; Methanotrichales; Methanotrichaceae.